RNAcentral lists this ribosomal RNA (109 nucleotides) under Acanthosepion pharaonis. The record is from RNAcentral. Lineage: Eukaryota; Metazoa; Mollusca; Cephalopoda; Sepiida; Sepiidae.
GGCCAUACUACGUUGAAAGACCGUUUCCCGUAUGAUCAACGAAGUUAAGCAACGUCAUGCCUGGUCAGUACCUUGAUGGGUGACCUCUUGGGAAUACAAGGUGCGGUAA